UGGAGCAUGUGGCUUAAUUUGACUCAACGCGGGAAAUCUUACCGGGUCCGGACACACUGAGGAUUGACAGACAUUUAUAUGCGCAAGUAUACAUUUAAAGAUGCUAGUUCUUUCAUGAUUAUGUGAUAGGUGGUGCAUGGCCGUUCUUAGUUCGUGGAGUGAUCUGUCUGCUUAAUUGCGUUUCAUAUUAUUAUAUAAUAUACACACAUCACGUGUGUUAUAUUAUUACUUUGAAAGCAACGAACGUGACCGUAGCCUUUUAUUAUAUACGCUACACGUAUAUUAAUUAAAGGGACCGCUGUAUCUUUCUUUAAACCAGAGUAAGGUUACGGCAAUAACAGGUCUGUGAUGCCCUUCGAUGUUCCGGGCUGCACACGUGCUACAAUGAUUAUUUCAUUAAGUAUCUACUGUGCAAUAAUAUAUUAUUAUUAUUCAAAACCUACUCUGAGAAUGAGCGGGUAAUCAAUUAGAAGUAAUGAUUUCCAAAUUUAUACACUCAUGUACCGUAUAUAUUAUCCCAUAUUUUAAUUAAUAUGCGUGUAUAAUAUUGUACGCUGUACGUAUAUUUAUUAAUUCAUGGUGGGGAUAGACUAUUGUUAAUUGUUGGUCUCGGUCUUAACUAGGAAUGCCUUGUACGGGUCAUUGGUUCAACAGACCACCCGGAAUACGUCCCUGCCCUUUGUACACACCGCCCGUCGCUCUUACCGAUGAACUUCGCUAUGAAUCUAUUGGACUGUACCAUUGUGGUAUGGAAAGAUAUAUGAAUAGUGUGGUUUAAAGGAAAGAGAAGUCGUAACAAGGCA
Molecule: ribosomal RNA, 803 nt
Filed under: Elphidium macellum
Lineage: Eukaryota; Foraminifera; Rotaliida; Elphidiidae
Description: SSU rRNA
Rfam family: Eukaryotic small subunit ribosomal RNA
Source: RNAcentral